This 396-nucleotide ribosomal RNA is filed under the name uncultured bacterium. RNAcentral describes it as "bacterial SSU rRNA". It matches the Rfam family "Bacterial small subunit ribosomal RNA", at positions 28 to 417 of the family's 1533-position model. The record is from RNAcentral.
GACGAACGCUGGCGGCGCGCCUAACACAUGCAAGUCGAGCGAGAACCAGAGCUUCGGCCCUGGGGAAAGCGGCGAACGGGUGAGUAACACGUGGGUAACCUGCCCUCGGCACCGGGAUAGCCCGAGGAAACUCGGAUUAAUACCGGACAGCCUCAUGAGCCCUUGGGCGAAUGAGAAAAGGUGGCUUCGGCUUCCGGCUGAGGAUGGGCCCGCGUCCGAUUAGCUUGUUGGUGAGGUAAUGGCUCACCAAGGCUGCGAUCGGUAGCUGGUCUGAGAGGACGAUCAGCCACACUGGGACUGAGACACGGCCCAGACUCCUACGGGAGGCAGCAGUGGGGAAUCUUGCGCAAUGGGCGAAAGCCUGACGCAGCGACGCCGCGUGCGGGAAGAAGGCCU